RNAcentral lists this ribosomal RNA (496 nucleotides) under uncultured bacterium. RNAcentral describes it as "partial 16S ribosomal RNA". It matches the Rfam family "Bacterial small subunit ribosomal RNA", at positions 28 to 506 of the family's 1533-position model. The record is from RNAcentral.
GAUGAACGCUGGCGGCGUGCCUAAUACAUGCAAGUCGAGCGAACAGACGAGGAGCUUGCUCCUCUGACGUUAGCGGCGGACGGGUGAGUAACACGUGGAUAACCUACCUAUAAGACUGGGAUAACUUCGGGAAACCGGAGCUAAUACCGGAUAAUAUAUUGAACCGCAUGAUUCAAUAGUGAAAGACGGUUUUGCUGUCACUUAUAGAUGGAUCCGCGCCGCAUUAGCUAGUUGGUAAGGUAACGGCUUACCAAGGCAACGAUGCGUAGCCGACCUGAGAGGGUGAUCGGCCACACUGGAACUGAGACACGGUCCAGACUCCUACGGGAGGCAGCAGUAGGGAAUCUUCCGCAAUGGGCGAAAGCCUGACGGAGCAACGCCGCGUGAGUGAUGAAGGUCUUCGGAUCGUAAAACUCUGUUAUUAGGGAAGAACAAAUGUGUAAGUAACGAUGCACGUCUGGACGGUACCUAAGCAGAAAGCCACGGCUAACUACGU